GGAUUAGAUACCCUGGUAGUCCACGCCCUAAACGAUGGGUGCUAAUUGUCGGGACUUUAUGUUUCGGUGAUGUAGCUAACGCGUUAAGCACCCCGCCUGGGGAGUACGGUCGCAAGAUUAAAACUCAAAGGAAUUGACGGGGACCCGCACAAGCGGUGGAGCAUGUGGUUUAAUUCGAUGCAACGCGAAAAACCUUACCAGGCCUCGACAUCUAGGGGAACCUUGGCAGAGAUGCCUUGGGUGGAGCAAUCUACUCCUAGACAGGUGUUGCAUGGCUGUCGUCAGCUCGUGCCG
RNAcentral lists this ribosomal RNA (294 nucleotides) under uncultured bacterium. RNAcentral describes it as "partial 16S ribosomal RNA". It matches the Rfam family "Bacterial small subunit ribosomal RNA", at positions 775 to 1067 of the family's 1533-position model. The record is from RNAcentral.